AUAAGUAAUGUGAAUUGCAGAUUUCAGUGAAUCAUCGAAUCUUUGAACGCACCUUGCGCCUUGUGGUAUUCCAGAAGGCAUGCCCGUUUGAGUGUCAUUAAUUCAUCAACUUCAAAAUUCUUUUGAACUUUCGAGGCUUGGUCUUGAGGGUUUGCG
RNAcentral lists this ribosomal RNA (156 nucleotides) under Cristinia helvetica. Its description in RNAcentral is "5.8S ribosomal RNA". The stretch from base 1 to 97 matches the Rfam family "5.8S ribosomal RNA", at positions 58 to 154 of the family's 154-position model. From Rfam's summary of the family: 5.8S ribosomal RNA (5.8S rRNA) is a component of the large subunit of the eukaryotic ribosome. It is transcribed by RNA polymerase I as part of the 45S precursor that also contains 18S and 28S rRNA. Lineage: Eukaryota; Fungi; Basidiomycota; Agaricomycetes; Agaricales; Stephanosporaceae. The record is from RNAcentral.